RNAcentral lists this ribosomal RNA (497 nucleotides) under uncultured bacterium. Its description in RNAcentral is "partial 16S ribosomal RNA". It matches the Rfam family "Bacterial small subunit ribosomal RNA", at positions 28 to 507 of the family's 1533-position model. The record is from RNAcentral.
GAUGAACGCUGGCGGCGUGCCUAAUACAUGCAAGUCGAGCGAACGGACGAGAAGCUUGCUUCUCUGAUGUUAGCGGCGGACGGGUGAGUAACACGUGGAUAACCUACCUAUAAGACUGGGAUAACUUCGGGAAACCGUAGCUAAUACCGGAUAAUAUUUUGAACCGCAUGGUUCAAAAGUGAAAGACGGUCUUGCUGUCACUUAUAGAUGGAUCCGCGCUGCAUUAGCUAGUUGGUAAGGUAACGGCUUACCAAGGCAACGAUGCAUAGCCGACCUGAGAGGGUGAUCGGCCACACUGGAACUGAGGCACGGUCCAGACUCCUACGGGGGGCAGCAGUAGGGAAUCUUCCGCAAUGGGCGAAAGCCUGACGGAGCAACGCCGCGUGAGUGAUGAAGGUCUUCGGAUCGUAAAACUCUGUUAUUAGGGAAGAACAUAUGUGUAAGUAACUGUGCACAUCUUGACGGUACCUAAUCAGAAAGCCACGGCUAACUACGUG